This is a long non-coding RNA of Lynx canadensis (Canada lynx), 2172 nucleotides long. RefSeq lists it as uncharacterized. The record is from RefSeq and is a predicted model, not a curated record. The transcript has 4 exons. NCBI's taxonomy places the organism in Eukaryota, Metazoa, Chordata, Mammalia, Carnivora, Felidae.
GCUUGAGAUGCUGAAUGGAGAUGCUAUGCAUAAGUGUGCCAGGACACAAAGCAUAAACCAAGAUUGGCCUUGGCAAAGCAGGGCAUAUGGCACCCUCCUCGUGUUUCAGCUAAAGAAACCCUGACCCGGAGUACCAAGUGCCUUACCAGGUCCCACAGCUUACGAGGUGACAGGACGCAAAGGCAGAUAUUCACUUCACUCGACUCCAUGGCCCAGCACCUCCAUUCCGCGAGAGACAUGAUUAUUUCAGCAAUGAAACCUACCAAAUGUUCAAAAUGACUCACAAGGCAGCGAGCGGCACGGAGAUUGGAUUGUGAGAGCUUCGGGAUGGAAAAGUUCAAGUUUUGGACCCAGCCAGGGACCCUAAGAAGGCGGAGAAAAACUUCCCCCCUGCUGCAAGGAUCAGCACAGCACCGUGAAGCAAAGCACUCUCUAUCUUUCAGACAAAGAAACUGAAGCUCCAAGAGUUUAAAUGACUUGCCCUAAGUAAGGGGGCCAGACAUAAGGGGAGAAAAACACAGGAUACCUAGUUCAAUUUAUUCCAGGUGACUUUUGGUGGACUCCUCGAUGGCUCCUGGAUGGGUCCAGUCCCCAGAAAGACCAAGCCAUGAUGAGAAGCUCGGAAUUUUCAGCCCUCUCCCACCACCACCGCCCCCCCCCCCUAUUUUCCAGAAAGGGGAGAGGGGCUGGAUACGCAGUUAAUAAUUGAUCGUGCCUAAGCCCCAAGGUAUGGAGUUAGGAGAGCUUCUAGGUGGGUGAACACAUCCGCGUCACAUACUAGGAGGGUGACACAGCCCAAUCCACAGGAACAGAAGUUUCUGCGCUCAGGAUUCUCCCAGACCUCACCCUAGGUGCCUCUUCAUCUGGCUGUUCAUCUGUGUCCUUUAGCACAUCCAUUAUUAUAUAGUAAACAGGUAAACAUAAGUAAGUGUUUUCUGGAGUGCUGUGAGCUGUUCUAGGAAACAAUCAAAUCCAAGGCGGAGGACGUCAUGGGAACCUCUGAUGUGUAGCCAAGUCAGACAGAAGGUGUGGGUCACCCGGAGACCUACUACGUGCAGUGCCGUCUGAAGUAGGGGCAGUCUCAGGCAACUGAGCCCUCAGCCCGUGAGAUAGGGUGCUACCUGGAGGUAGAUGGUGUCGGAGAAUUGCUUGGUGCAGAAACCUGGCCGCACCUGGUGUCAGAAGUACUGUGAGUGUGACAGUCGCUGAGAGAGGAGGAGACACGCGGGAGGACAAGUGCAGGCUUCCUGCUCGGCCACAGCUCUGGAAUCUCACAGUGCCAGGCUGCCGUGGGACAGGGUUUCCUCUGGUGACCGAGUUGUCCGCUCGCAACGGGGUGCUGCCUACAAGACCCUUCGAGUCCGGUGGCCCUGGUGCUGCAGUGACAUGGGGCGCAGGCCUUUGGGACCAACUAAUUGCCUAAAUGUGGAAGAGUCAGAAGCGAAUUCCAGGAGAAAAAACACACAUAUAUCCAUUAGCAUCUUACGGUAUUCUCCCGCCUUACAUUACAACAUAAUGUCCGAGCUAUGCUUUUGCAAAUAAACUAUUUACACGUUAUGAAUUCCUCAUUCGAUACACUGCUGUCUACAGCUCUGUCAUUAAAAUUAAUAUAAUCGGCUUAACACAUUGCAGCCAGACCGAUUUCCUGAAGGCGGAUUCAUCAGAUUAGUUCAGAGCUCAGAUCCCUCCAAAGGCUCUCCUUUGUCUCUGGAACGUAGUAGUCCUGGCUCCUGGGUUUGGCGCCGGAGAACGUUCACAACCUAUUCCCUUCUGUUUUCAUCUCUGGCUUCCACAACCUGACACAGCCAGUCACAUCUGAUGGGCGGGUGCCCAUCAGAGCACCACCCCCUGAAGUGUUGCCAUGCCCCCCUGCUGCCUCUCCACACCUGUCAAGCAUAACUCUUGGGUUCAUACCCUGAAAGGGCGGACCUACACCAGCCGACUCCAUCUUGUUCUGUGUCCUACACCUUAAGUGACUAUGUCCCCGACAUGACCCCUUUUCUGGGAAAAUGGCAGAAACCUCAAACCACGCCUCCUCCCCUUGAGUAACCUCCCGCUCACCCGUUCAAACUUCCCGAUCAAAACAUGCCCAGAGACCUGCGGACCGGGACUCCAACCCUUCCCCAGCCAAUCGGCUGAGGCCAUGACCCUUCCCCAGCCAAUCAGCUGAGG